CUGAGCUGGAGAUUUUCUUGACAAAUCCGAGAAGGGAAUUUCUAACCGGCUUUGGUUUCGGUUAUGUCCUCGACUUGGCUUAUACAUAUCUCGAAGCCUGUGUGGAAAAAAAGUUCUUCAAAAUGAAGCUUAGGGACGAAAGGCGCCCCGCCACAUUUGGAUUUGUACACAAGCUAUUCCAACCAGCAGGAACAGAGGGAAUUCAGAAGAUUUUAAAUGUGGAUGGGUACGAAGGGACAGUCAGGAAUAGGAGAUGUAAGGAAGCUUUGGUUCGGGAUGUAGUCGCACUACUUGUAUCCAAC
This is a long non-coding RNA of Liolophura sinensis, 302 nucleotides long. RefSeq lists it as uncharacterized. NCBI's taxonomy places the organism in Eukaryota, Metazoa, Mollusca, Polyplacophora, Chitonida, Chitonidae. The record is from RefSeq and is a predicted model, not a curated record. The transcript is spliced from 4 exons.